Non-coding RNA from Macaca mulatta (Rhesus monkey), 532 nucleotides. The record is from RefSeq and is a predicted model, not a curated record. NCBI's taxonomy places the organism in Eukaryota, Metazoa, Chordata, Mammalia, Primates, Cercopithecidae.
CCCGCCGCGGUCCGCAGCCUGCGCUUGGCGGCCCCCGGGGCUCCCCGACUGCGGCGGGGAAGAUUGGGCGCGGUCCCGCUGGAGAAGUUGCACCGGCUCCGCGGCUCUGCCUCCUUGCUGCCCCUGAUGCCCAGGACCCAGUCAGCGGCGGGAGCAAGAAAAACAGGCGGGGUUUCAAUGUCAACCAAGGCAUAGGGAGGUUAACAAACACCCCUGAAAACAAAACACACAGAAAAUACAUCCCAGAGGAUGUUGCGAAUCAUCCGCUCAAUGGUUCUUCUUCUUCGCAUAAUUUUUCGAGUUGAAAAUUAUUAUUAUUUUCCUGCAAUAAGUUGAAGAUUGGAAAGCUCUGGAUGCCAAUUCUGGUUCUUCCCUUACUUAACUGGCCGUUUGACCUCCACAAACCUGUUUACUCAUCGUAAAGGAAAGGGGUAGACCAAAUGGUUUAUAAUGUCUCUCCCAAUUCUAGGAAUUCCAUGCUCUUAAUUAUUUUAAUCAUUUUCUAAUAAAGCAUGAAAAUUGUUUACUCUUG